UUUUUUUUUUUUUUUUUUUUGUAACCAACCGUCGGAUCCAUGGCGCCAUCUUCUGUUCCGGGGUGCCGCUCCCUUCAGAUCCCCUUUCUCAAAAUGGGCGUUUUCUUUCUGUUUGUUUGCUGCACAUGGGAAUUGCCUGUAGAGGGAAAGCGACAAGAGUCAAAUGAGAAAAUGAAAAAGCAAAAAAAAAAAAAAAAAGACAGAACAGCAGCAGUCCGAGAUGUGCGAAGGAAAAGGACGGAGGGAGGCUCUGCGCAUCUGAGACGGCCUGAAGAGCUCAAUCACAUUAUCAUGCAUGAAAUAAGAAGUUGUUUAAUGUGGCGUUGAGUGUAAAAGCCUUGAGUUUUUAAAGUGGAAUUAAAUGCACAUUUGCAAUUGAAUUUAGCCGCUCUUAUUCUUUUAUUAAAGUUAAAUGUAACAAA
Long non-coding RNA from Acanthopagrus latus (yellowfin seabream), 422 nucleotides. RefSeq lists it as uncharacterized. Lineage: Eukaryota; Metazoa; Chordata; Actinopteri; Spariformes; Sparidae. The transcript has 2 exons. The record is from RefSeq and is a predicted model, not a curated record.